This 468-nucleotide ribosomal RNA is filed under the name uncultured bacterium. Its description in RNAcentral is "partial 16S ribosomal RNA". It matches the Rfam family "Bacterial small subunit ribosomal RNA", at positions 28 to 507 of the family's 1533-position model. The record is from RNAcentral.
GACGAACGCUGGCGGCGUGCUUAACACAUGCAAGUCGAACGGCAAGGCCCUGCUUUUGUGGGGUGCUCGAGUGGCGAACGGGUGAGUAACACGUGAGUAACCUGCCCUUGACUUUGGGAUAACUUCAGGAAACUGGGGCUAAUACCGGAUAGGAGCUCCUGCUGCAUGGUGGGGGUUGGAAAGUUUCGGCGGUUGGGGAUGGACUCGCGGCUUACCAGCUUGUUGGUGGGGUAGUGGCUUACCAAGGCUUGGACGGGUAGCCGGCCUGGGAGGGAGACCGGCAACAGUGGGCCUGAGAUACGGCCCAGACUCCUACGGGAGGCAGCAGUGGGAAAUAUUGCAAAAUGGGCGGAAGCCUGAUGCAGCGACGCUGCGUGCGGGAUGACGGCCUUCGGGUUGAAAAACGCUUUCGCCUGUGACGAAGCGUGAGUGACGGUACUGGGUAAAGAAGCACCGGCUAACUACGUG